CUACGGGAGGCAGCAGUGGGGAAUAUUGCACAAUGGGCGCAAGCCUGAUGCAGCCAUGCCGCGUGUAUGAAGAAGGCCUUCGGGUUGUAAAGUACUUUCAGCGGGGAGGAAGGGAGUAAAGUUAAUACCUUUGCUCAUUGACGUUACCCGCAGAAGAAGCACCGGCUAACUCCGUGCCAGCAGCCGCGGUAAUACGGAGGGUGCAAGCGUUCAUCGGAAUUACUGGGCGUAAAGCGCACGCGGGCGGUUUGUUAAGUCAGAUGUGAAAUCCCCGGGCUCAACCUGGGAACUGCAUCUGAUCCUGGCAAGCUUGAGUCUCGUAGAGGGGGGUAGAAUUCCAGGUGUAGCGGUGAAAUGCGUAGAGAUCUGGAGGAAUACCGGUGGCGAAGGCGGCCCCCUGGACGAAGACUGACGCUCAGGUGCGAAAGCGUGGGGAGCAAACAGGAUUAGAUACCCGGGUAGUC
RNAcentral lists this ribosomal RNA (464 nucleotides) under uncultured bacterium. Its description in RNAcentral is "partial 16S ribosomal RNA". It matches the Rfam family "Bacterial small subunit ribosomal RNA", at positions 339 to 795 of the family's 1533-position model. The record is from RNAcentral.